CUUCAAUCGACAUCAAACACCCUGCACGUAUUUAAAGUGUACAAUCUGAUGAGUUUUGACACGUGCACACGCCUGAGAAACCAGCGCCGUAACCGGGAUAAGCCACAAAUCCGUCUCAUCCCCCGAAGUUUCCUGGAACCCUUUGGUCCACGUAUGCACAUUCUGCAAUAAGAAGGGCGACAUCCCAUAGUAUGUCCCACCACCUGACUUAGCCCUCCCUCUGAUGAAUGACAACGUGGAGUCGAAGGCAGC
RNAcentral lists this long non-coding RNA (252 nucleotides) under Mustela putorius furo (domestic ferret). Its description in RNAcentral is "lncRNA (ENSMPUG00000030401.1)". The record is from RNAcentral. Lineage: Eukaryota; Metazoa; Chordata; Mammalia; Carnivora; Mustelidae.